RNAcentral lists this ribosomal RNA (494 nucleotides) under uncultured bacterium. RNAcentral describes it as "partial 16S ribosomal RNA". It matches the Rfam family "Bacterial small subunit ribosomal RNA", at positions 28 to 507 of the family's 1533-position model. The record is from RNAcentral.
GACGAACGCUGGCGGCGCGCUUAACACAUGCAAGUCGAACGGAAAGGCCUGCUUUCCCUUGUGGAUUGCGGGUACUCGAGUGGCGAACGGGUGAGUAACACGUGAGUGAUCUGCCCCCAACUUGGGUAUAAGCCUGGGAAACUGGGUCUAAUUCCCGAUAGGACUGCAGGGUGGUGCCUGUGGUGGAAAACGAUUUUCUAGUGGUUGGGGAUGAGCUCGCGGCCUAUCAGCUUGUUGGUGGGGUAAUGGCCUACCAAGGCGGCGACGGGUAGCCGGCCUGAGAGGGUGAACGGCCACAUUGGGACUGAGAUACGGCCCAGACUCCUACGGGAGGCAGCAGUGGGGAAUAUUGCACAAUGGGCGGAAGCCUGAUGCAGCGACGCCGCGUGGGGGAUGACGGCCUUCGGGUUGUAAACUCCUUUCGACCGCGAGGAAGCCACCUGGUUGGAAGGGUGGUGACGGUAGUGGUAGAAGAAGCACCGGCUAACUACGUG